ACACGACUACAUUUAGAUACCCCCUGUAGUCCUAGGCGUAAAUGAUGCGAGUUAAGUNUGGGGGCAUCUACGAGAUGGCCCUGUGCUGUAGGGUAGCCGUUAAACUCGCUGCCUGGGGAGUACGGUCGCAAGGCUGAAACUUAAAGGAAUUGCGGGGGAGCACCACAAGAGGUGGAGGCUGCGGUUCAAUUGGACUCAACGCCGGAAAACUCAUCGGGAGCGACAGCAGUAUGAUUGCCAGGUUGAUGACCUUGCUUGACAAGCUG
RNAcentral lists this ribosomal RNA (266 nucleotides) under uncultured archaeon. Its description in RNAcentral is "partial 16S ribosomal RNA". It matches the Rfam family "Archaeal small subunit ribosomal RNA", at positions 717 to 982 of the family's 1478-position model. The record is from RNAcentral.